Non-coding RNA from Ornithorhynchus anatinus (platypus), 138 nucleotides. The record is from Rfam. NCBI's taxonomy places the organism in Eukaryota, Metazoa, Chordata, Mammalia, Monotremata, Ornithorhynchidae.
CCCCUCUCAGGACCUCACCUGGAGAGUUUCCAGUCCUCUACCAGUCUCGGCUAAGGGAGGGAGAGUGAAACAGAGGCCCGUCCAUUCCAUUCCUAGCUUGGCCAGCGGCUAGCGAGUGAAAGACAAUCUGCUACAAGU